AACGAACGCUGGCGGCAGGCUUAACACAUGCAAGUCGAACGGGUGUAGCAAUACAUCAGUGGCAGACGGGUGAGUAACACGUGGGAACCUUCCUCGUUGUACGGGACAACUCAGGGAAACUUGAGCUAAUACCGUAUACGUCCGAGAGGAGAAAGAUUUAUCGCAAUGAGACGGGCCCGCGUCGGAUUAGCUAGUUGGUGGGGUAACGGCCUACCAAGGCGACGAUCCGUAGCUGAUCNGAGAGGAUGA
This 249-nucleotide ribosomal RNA is filed under the name uncultured bacterium. RNAcentral describes it as "partial 16S ribosomal RNA". It matches the Rfam family "Bacterial small subunit ribosomal RNA", at positions 29 to 303 of the family's 1533-position model. The record is from RNAcentral.